This 250-nucleotide ribosomal RNA is filed under the name uncultured prokaryote. RNAcentral's name for it is "partial 16S rRNA". It matches the Rfam family "Bacterial small subunit ribosomal RNA", at positions 525 to 775 of the family's 1533-position model. The record is from RNAcentral.
ACGUAGGUGGCAAGCGUUGUCCGGAAUUAUUGGGCGUAAAGCGCAUGUAGGCGGGCUUUUAAGUCGGUUGUGAAAAUGCGGGGCUCAACCCCGUGUGGCAUUGGAUACUCUAAGUCUUGAGUGCAGGAGAGGAAAGGGGAAUUCCCAGUGUAGCGGUGAAAUGCGUAGAUAUUGGGAGGAACACCAGUGGCGAAGGCGCCUUUCUGGACUGUAUCUGACGCUGAGAUGCGAAAGCUAGGGUAGCGAACGG